UACGAAGGGGGCUAGCGUUGUUCGGAUUUACUGGGCGUAAAGCGCACGUAGGCGGAUUGUUAAGUGAGGGGUGAAAUCCUGGAGCUCAACUCCAGAACUGCCUUUCAUACUGGCAAUCUAGAGUCCGGAAGAGGUAAGUGGAACUCCUAGUGUAGAGGUGGAAUUCGUAGAUAUUCGCAAGAACACCAGUGGCGAAGGCGGCUCACUGGCCCGGUACUGACGCUGAGGUGCGAAAGCGUGGGGAGCAAACAGGG
RNAcentral lists this ribosomal RNA (254 nucleotides) under uncultured bacterium. RNAcentral describes it as "partial 16S ribosomal RNA". It matches the Rfam family "Bacterial small subunit ribosomal RNA", at positions 524 to 777 of the family's 1533-position model. The record is from RNAcentral.